RNAcentral lists this ribosomal RNA (490 nucleotides) under uncultured bacterium. Its description in RNAcentral is "partial 16S ribosomal RNA". It matches the Rfam family "Bacterial small subunit ribosomal RNA", at positions 30 to 507 of the family's 1533-position model. The record is from RNAcentral.
AUUGAACGCUGGCGGCAGGCCUAACACAUGCAAGUCGAACGGUAACAGGAAGCAGCUUGCUGCUUUGCUGACGCGUGGCGGACGGGUGAGUAAUGUCUGGGAAACUGCCUGAUGGAGGGGGAUAACUACUGGAAACGGUAGCUAAUACCGCAUAACGUCGCAAGACCAAAGAGGGGGACCUUAUGGCCUCUUGCCAUCGGAUGUGCCCAGAUGGGAUUAGCUAGUAGGUGGGGUAACGGCUCACCUAGGCGACGAUCCCUAGCUGGUCUGAGAGGAUGACCAGCCACACUGGAACUGAGACACGGUCCAGACUCCUACGGGAGGCAGCAGUGGGGAAUAUUGCACAAUGGGCGCAAGCCUGAUGCAGCCAUGCCGCGUGGAUGAAGAAGGCCUUCGGGUUGUAAAGUACUUUCAGCGGGGAGGAAGGGAGUAAAGUUAAUACCUUUGCGCAUUGACGUUACCCGCAGAAGAAGCACCGGCUAACUCCGUG